UACGUAGGGUGCAAGCGUUAAUCGGAAUUACUGGGCGUAAAGCGUGCGCAGGCGGUGAUGUAAGACAGAUGUGAAAUCCCACGGCUCACCCGUGGAACUGCUGGGCAUACUGGGCGUCUUGGGCCAACUAGGGGCAGCCGGAACAAGCGGUGGAGCGGUGAAAUGCGUAGAGAUUAGGAAGAACACCAGUGGCGAAGGCGACUUACUGGACUGUAACUGACGCUGAGGCAUGAAAGCGUGGGGAGCAAACAGG
This 253-nucleotide ribosomal RNA is filed under the name uncultured bacterium. Its description in RNAcentral is "partial 16S ribosomal RNA". It matches the Rfam family "Bacterial small subunit ribosomal RNA", at positions 524 to 776 of the family's 1533-position model. The record is from RNAcentral.